Molecule: ribosomal RNA, 456 nt
Filed under: Scheffersomyces sp. BG090807.3.14.1.3.34
Lineage: Eukaryota; Fungi; Ascomycota; Pichiomycetes; Serinales; Debaryomycetaceae
Description: eukaryotic LSU rRNA
Rfam family: Eukaryotic large subunit ribosomal RNA
Source: RNAcentral
GCGAGUGAAGCGACAAAAGCUCAAAUUUGAAAUCUGGCACCUUCGGUGUCCGAGUUGUAAUUUGAAGAAGGUAACUUUGGAGUUGGCUCUUGUCUAUGUUCCUUGGAACAGGACGUCACAGAGGGUGAGAAUCCCGUGCGAUGAGAUGUCCAACUCUACGCACAGUGCUUUCGAAGAGUCGAGUUGUUUGGGAAUGCAGCUCUAAGUGGGUGGUAAAUUCCAUCUAAAGCUAAAUAUUGGCGAGAGACCGAUAGCGAACAAGUACAGUGAUGGAAAGAUGAAAAGAACUUUGAAAAGAGAGUGAAAAAGUACGUGAAAUUGUUGAAAGGGAAGGGUUUGAGAUCAGACUUGGUAUUUUGUAUGUCUUGCUUUCGGGUGGGGCCUCUGCAGUUUACUGGGCCAGCAUCGGUUUGGACGGUAGGAUAAUGACAUUGGAAUGUGGCACUACUUCGGUGG